AUGAAGCAAGAUGUAGCUGAAUUUGUGCAACAGUGUGAGAUAUGUCAAAAAGCUAAGCAUGAACACUGCAAGUAUCCAGGUUUGCUAAAUCCUUUACCAAUACCUGACAGUCCUUGGCAACACAUAACAAUGGAUUUCAUAGAAGCUUUGCCCAAGUCCGAUGGAUAUACUGUGAUCUUGGUAGUUGUAGAUAGAUAUACCAAAUACAGUCAUUUUAUUCCAUUGAAACAUCCAUUUUCUGCUCCAACAGUGGCUAAAGCCUUCCUGGAAACAGUAGUAAAGUUGCACGGUCCACCUUGUUCUAUUGUGUCAGAUAGAGACAAAAUCUUCACAAGCUACUUUUGGAAGGAUUUGUUCAGAUUAUGGGACACUAAGUUGAAUAUGAGUACGGCAUAUCACCCACAAACAGAUGGGCAGAGUGAGAGGGUGAAUCAGUGUGUGGAAAUGUACUUGAGGUGCUCUGUGCAUGACAACCCUCAUAAGUGGCAUUCUUGGCUUCCAUUAGCUGAGUUUUGGUAUAACACCAAUUACCAUACUUCCCUGGGUUGCUCUCCCUUCAAAGCUUUGUAUGGCCACAAUCCAAAUUAUGGGUUUUUCUCCUCAGUUCUCCAAUCUGAUAAUGUAGAUAUGGAACAAUGGCUGAGAGAACAUCAGUCUCAUUCAGCUCUUCUUAAAGCUCAUCUUCUGAAGGCUCAAGCAAAGAUUAAGGCUUAUGCAGAUCAACACAGAACUGAGCGCUCAUUUGAAGUGGGAGAUGAGGUGUUGCUUAAACUUCAACCCUAUGCACAACAUUCAGUUGUCAACCGUCCAUGUGCUAAGUUGGCCUACAAGUAUUAUGGACCCUUUUCGGUGUUAGAGCGCAUCGGACCAGCAGCUUACAAACUGCAGUUACCUUCAGAGGCUCUCAUUCAUCCUGUGUUCCAUGUGUCUCAACUGAAAGAGCAUAAACCAGAUCAUACACCGGUCUUCUCGCAGUUACCGUCGAUGGUGGAUUUAUCUGUGGCUCAACUGGUGCCAGAGGUUUUGCUGGAUCGCAAGAUGGUUAAGAAAAAUAACAAGGUUCAAGUGCAGGUGUUGGUAAAGUGGUCUGGAUUAUCGGAAGAAGCGGCGACUUGGGAGGACUAUGAUGUGCUUAAGAGUAGGUUCCUAGAUGCACCAGCAUGGGGACAAGCUGAUGCUCAAGAGGGCGGCAUUGUCAGCAGUGCUACGCAGAUGCUGGCAGCAUCGACAAGCAAGACAGAUGCAGGGACGUCAAGGGCGCGUAAUUCAGAAGCAAGUGCAAGCCCAUGGGCCGAAAGUCGAGUGGGCCGCAGUCCAGUCGAGAAGGCUGGAGGUCCAGGCGAGAAGAGUGAAUGGGUAUAUCAGUAG
Molecule: ribosomal RNA, 1368 nt
Filed under: Triticum aestivum (bread wheat)
Lineage: Eukaryota; Viridiplantae; Streptophyta; Magnoliopsida; Poales; Poaceae
Description: partial small subunit ribosomal RNA
Source: RNAcentral